UUUUAUUUGAGAGUUUGAUCCUGGCUCAGGAUGAACGCUGGCGGCGUGCCUAACACAUGCAAGUUGAGCGAUUUACUUCGGUAAAGAGCAGCGGACGGGUGAGUAACGCGUGGGUAACCUACCCUGUACACACGGAUAACAUACCGAAAGGUAUGCUAAUACGGGAUAAUAUAUUUGAGAGGCAUCUCUUAAAUAUCAAAGGUGAGCCAGUA
RNAcentral lists this ribosomal RNA (212 nucleotides) under Clostridioides difficile. RNAcentral's name for it is "partial 16S ribosomal RNA". It matches the Rfam family "Bacterial small subunit ribosomal RNA", at positions 1 to 220 of the family's 1533-position model. Lineage: Bacteria; Bacillati; Bacillota; Clostridia; Peptostreptococcales; Peptostreptococcaceae. The record is from RNAcentral.